This 561-nucleotide ribosomal RNA is filed under the name uncultured bacterium. RNAcentral describes it as "bacterial SSU rRNA". It matches the Rfam family "Bacterial small subunit ribosomal RNA", at positions 119 to 674 of the family's 1533-position model. The record is from RNAcentral.
CGGAACGUGCCCAAUCGUGGGGGAUAGCUCGGCGAAAGCCGGGUUAAUACCGCAUACGAUCUACGGAUGAAGGCAGGGGACUCGCAAGGGCCUUGCGCGAAUGGAGCGGCCGAUGGCAGAUUAGGUAGUUGGUGGGGUAAAGGCUCACCAAGCCGACGAUCUGUAGCUGGUCUGAGAGGACGACCAGCCACACUGGGACUGAGACACGGCCCAGACUCCUACGGGAGGCAGCAGUGGGGAAUUUUGGACAAUGGGCGCAAGCCUGAUCCAGCAAUGCCGCGUGCAGGAUGAAGGCCUUCGGGUUGUAAACUGCUUUUGUACGGAACGAAAAGGCUCUGGUUAAUACCUGGGGCUCAUGACGGUACCGUAAGAAUAAGCACCGGCUAACUACGUGCCAGCAGCCGCGGUAAUACGUAGGGUGCGAGCGUUAAUCGGAAUUACUGGGCGUAAAGCGUGCGCAGGCGGUGAUGUAAGACAGUUGUGAAAUCCCCGGGCUCAACCUGGGAACUGCAUCUGUGACUGCAUCGCUGGAGUGCGGCAGAGGGGGAUGGAAUUCCGCGU